Molecule: long non-coding RNA, 241 nt
Filed under: Elaeis guineensis (African oil palm)
Lineage: Eukaryota; Viridiplantae; Streptophyta; Magnoliopsida; Arecales; Arecaceae
Description: long non-coding RNA (EGUI_LNC054981)
Source: RNAcentral
CCCCCAUCGUGUGUCUCACCCUUUUUUUUCUUUGAUUAGUUCUAGCGAAGUCAUCAAAAGUUGCCGACUUCAAGUUGAACCGGGUCCAAUAGGACCAGUACUCAAUUCUCCCUCCCUUACAAAAAUUUCAUCCUCAAAAUUUAAGAAAUCUAAGUCUGCUGAAGUUAAAGAUGCCCCACUCAAAAUUUACAUAUACCAAUUUAUCCUGACUUGAUAUUUUUGUCAAACUAAACAUAUGAUC